UUUACCCCCGAACUCUGCCUAGAGCUGUAUGAGCCUUGUUAAGCACUUUAAAAGGUUGUAGCACGAACCAACUAAAAGGCUCUUACAGAGGCUACAUACCUGCCGCGACAGAAAAUAGCUGGCUCUACUUCAAACCAUUUAAGUGGAACAAACAGCCUCUCCCAGCUGUUAUCUAUAACAAUAAAGGCUAAGCUUUAUUGAAAAAGCAAUAAAACCAGAAAAAAACUAUGUAGGCUCAGCAGCAGCCACCGACUCAACCGCGUAACAACCCCUUCUCAUAAACUAAUUAAAUUACUAAAACAAAAUGCCCAUAAAAAAGUAGAAUUUAUUUAAACCAUAAAAUAUAAUUAUAAUGUAAAAAUUAAUAUUACCUUCCCUUCACACAUGCCUUAUUAACACAUAAGAAAGGAACUCGGCAACUCCGGGCCCCGACUGUUUACCAAAAACAUCGCCUCUUGCACAACAAAAUAAAAGGUAUAUUCUGCCCAGUGACACGCUUAAACGGCCGCGGUACCCUGACCGUGCAAAGGUAGCAUAAUAAGUUGCCUCUUAAUUAGAGGCUAGAAUCAACGAACUAACGCGAGCCCCCCUGUCUCUCUUAUGCCCCCAAAACUUAACCUUUAGGUGAAAAUGCCUAAAUACAACUAAUAGACAAGAAGACCCUAUCGAGCUUCAUUGCAAAUUAUCAAGAGGCCAACUUGCUCACCCCUCCUUCAUAAAGUCGCAAUUUUGUUGGGGCAACAAAGGACCAUCUAAACCUUCCUUAAAUACCUUUAAUAACAAUAACAACGAGCCAAUAAAACGAUCUUAGGAUAAAUGCUACCGUAGGGAUAACAGGUUAAUUUUUCUCGAGAGCCCACAUUAACAGAAAAGUUUGGCACCUCGAUGU
RNAcentral lists this ribosomal RNA (889 nucleotides) under Paramphinome jeffreysii. RNAcentral describes it as "partial 16S ribosomal RNA". It matches the Rfam family "Bacterial large subunit ribosomal RNA", at positions 1432 to 2532 of the family's 2925-position model. The record is from RNAcentral. Lineage: Eukaryota; Metazoa; Annelida; Polychaeta; Eunicida; Amphinomidae.